RNAcentral lists this ribosomal RNA (433 nucleotides) under uncultured bacterium. RNAcentral's name for it is "bacterial SSU rRNA". It matches the Rfam family "Bacterial small subunit ribosomal RNA", at positions 28 to 476 of the family's 1533-position model. The record is from RNAcentral.
GACGAACGCUGGCGGCGUGCUUAACACAUGCAAGUCGAACGGUGACCCAGGGCUUGCCCUGGUGAUCAGUGGCGAACGGGUGAGUAACACGUGGGCAACCUGCCCCUGACUUCGGGAUAACUCCUCGAAAGAGGAGCUAAUACCGGAUACGACCACUUCGGACAUCCGAUGGUGGUGGAAAGUUUUCGGUCAGGGAUGGGCCCGCGGCCUAUCAGCUAGUUGGUGGGGUAAUGGCCUACCAAGGCGACGACGGGUAGCCGGCCUGAGAGGGCGACCGGCCACACUGGGACUGAGACACGGCCCAGACUCCUACGGGAGGCAGCAGUGGGGAAUAUUGCGCAAAUGGGCGAAAGCCUGACGCAGCGACGCCGCGUGAGGGAUGAAGGCCUUCGGUUGUAAACCUCUUUCAGCAGGACGAAGCGAAAGUGACGGU